UACGUAGGGUGCGAGCGUUGUCCGGAAUUACUGGGCGUAAAGAGCUUGUAGGCGGUUUGUCGCGUCUGCUGUGAAAAUCCGGGGCUCAACCCCGGACUUGCAGUGGGUACGGGCAGACUAGAGUGUGGUAGGGGAGACUGGAAUUCCUGGUGUAGCGGUGAAAUGCGCAGAUAUCAGGAGGAACACCGAUGGCGAAGGCAGGUCUCUGGGCCACUACUGACGCUGAGAAGCGAAAGCAUGGGGAGCGAACAGGAUUAGA
Molecule: ribosomal RNA, 259 nt
Filed under: uncultured prokaryote
Description: partial 16S ribosomal RNA
Rfam family: Bacterial small subunit ribosomal RNA
Source: RNAcentral